Heterocephalus glaber (naked mole-rat) is the source of this 1902-nucleotide non-coding RNA. NCBI's taxonomy places the organism in Eukaryota, Metazoa, Chordata, Mammalia, Rodentia, Bathyergidae. The record is from RefSeq and is a predicted model, not a curated record.
CUCUCGUGUCCCCUGUCCCCUCUCAUCCUCGCUCCCCCUCUAGGGUCUCCGUUGACUUACCCGCGGGCCGGGACAGAGCAGCCUUCCUCAGCCACAUCCUUCCAUCAUGCCGUUUCUGCCCUGAAGCCAGCAUCAUAGAGUAAAUCCGCUGGAAAACACCGGAAACUGUGAUCCGAAUAAACCUCUCCUCCUUUAAAUUGUUGGUGUUGGGUAUUGUGUACAGCAACAAAAUAGCUAAUACCAAACUUGUGUCUCUAUUUGGAGGUAGGCCUUCUAAGAAGAAUUUUUGAAUAAGUAUGCCUAUUUUUCAGGGCCCAUGCAAAAUGAGAAGAGCCACAGGCAGGGCUUGUGGGGUAAAGGAAGCUGACGGAGGCUCAUGGAAAUUACUAAACUUGAGGGUAAACACAGAAUCACCUCAAAAGAUGAGAUACAUUCAUUGUAUCACAGUAUGAGGUAAAAUAAAGUAAUCUCACUUUAAAAUCUGUGCAGGACCUAGAUCUUUCCAAAAGACAGAUUGGGUCCUAUACGAGAUUGUGGACAGUGAGACCUUCAGCCUUGAGAACAGAAUUCCUCACAAAGACAAGGGUUUGUGAAGCCAGUGGUUAUCUCGCUCCCAACCAAUGGGGAAGUGAUGAGGAAGAGUGACAAGAGACAGCUGUCUGCUCUGGAAGACACACAGGAAUGGCCCUAGUAGCAGGAGAAACCCAAUAAAUGCUAGAAUUUUAUGGAUUUAUGAGAUAUUCUCAAAUCUAUACCUAUAUCCCAAUAUGCAUCUCACAUGUGACUCUACAUAAUUUAAAUACUACUAAUAAAAUAUAACAUUUAGUAUUUUCUAAGAGAUAAACAAAGACAGUACUAAGCCUAAUCCUCUAUGGUACUGCUAUAUAGUCAUCACUUGGGAGAUUUAGUGAUGCAGUGUCUUUAGUCAGAUAAAAGAUUCCCUUUGUUUAAUUGACGUUGUGUGUGUUCUAUUAGUACAAGAUAUGAUAGUUCAAGUUAAUGAUAGAAUUUCCAUUAGCUAAAAGAUAACCAUUAACUUAGGCACUGGGUUUUAGCUAUGCUUCAGUGCUAUGAAUCCUGGGUGGGUCCCAGAACUUUAGGGAUGUCACAGAUAGGUCAUAGAGCAUUGCCAAGGCUUUUGUCAUAACAGAUAUCUUACCAACCGCAGUGUGUACUGAGCAUUAGUUACUCAGGAGGGUGUUUAGUGAGCAGACAGCCUCUUGGAUUAGAGAUUGUUAUACAAAUGUCAUUCUUUAUCAUCAUCAUCUAACUUUUCAAGAGCAGAGUUAAGAAAGAAACUUUCCUAAUAUCACCAAUUAUCCAGUUGAAUCAUGAAACACAAAAGAAAAAUAAAACAUCUGGAACCUUCAUUGUUAAACUAAACAGAAAAGAGACCAAGAGAAGAGUUAGAUUUAUAAGAUGAUCUGCAGAGCAGAAACAAUGUACUGACCCCAACUCAAGACCAGGAAGAGAGCAAUAUUUCUUCAAAUCACUUCUUUUGCGAAGACAAAUUCUUUGGUGCAGGCAUGAAGUAAUGAUUAAAUAAGCACCUCUGGAAACCUUUUGGUGGAUGUCUUCAGUCAUGCUGUCUUCGCUGUCUUGAUGUCCUGAAUCAACUCCAAAUGUGCCAGGCCAGUAAAGAAGACACAUUUUUCCUUCUGCAUUGGUAAGAGUUAAAUUUGUUAGGAUUAUACUCCAAUUUGGGGGACACCUGUAUAUACAUUUUUUAGGUAAUGUAUGAUAUGUUCCUUCCUUCCUAGUAUGAUUGUAUUUGUUUGUGUCCUUACAUGUGCACAACCCUAGAGUAGUCAAAGAUUGAAUUUUAGUUAUUUUUAAAUUUAAAAUUCACAUUAUUUUUCAAUCACUCCUCAUAUUUAGGGGAAGAGAAAUUAAAAUAGUUAA